AAUAAAAUGGCUGAGGUUUACAAUAGGCGAUAAAUUGUAAAUUUAUUAACGAGAUAAUUCUCUUUUAUU
This 69-nucleotide transfer RNA is filed under the name Delias belladonna. RNAcentral describes it as "tRNA-Tyr". Lineage: Eukaryota; Metazoa; Arthropoda; Insecta; Lepidoptera; Pieridae. The record is from RNAcentral.